UGUAAGCGUAUACCAAAGUUGUUGCAGUUAAAACGCUCGUAGUCGGAAUUUGGCAGUUCCGGAUGUGUGCACGUCGUGUGCGCACUUCGCGGGGAUUGCUUUUGUGGUCUUGCGUAGGAUGAGGCACUUUUAUUAGUGAACGUCCUCACGCAACCACUUUUUACUGUGAGAAAAUCAGAGUGCUCAAAGCAGGCAUUUGCCGUGAAUGUAUUAGCAUGGAAUAAUAGAAUAGGACUUGGGUCUAUUUUGUUGGUUUGUUGGGACUGAGUAAUGAUUAAGAGGGACAGUUGGGGGCAUUUGUAUUUCGGUGCUAGAGGUGAAAUUCUUAGAUUACCGAAAGACAAACUGCUGCGAAAGCGUCUGCCAAGGAUGUUUUCAUUGA
This 382-nucleotide ribosomal RNA is filed under the name uncultured eukaryote. Its description in RNAcentral is "partial 18S ribosomal RNA". It matches the Rfam family "Eukaryotic small subunit ribosomal RNA", at positions 592 to 976 of the family's 1831-position model. The record is from RNAcentral.